CAUGAUCCAAUGCAGUUAUGGAUAUGAUCCUUUUGGGCUAGGCAAGAAGCCAGAAAACUUCAGCAAGUAAGCUUUUGCUAUACAUAAUACUCUCUCUCUCUCUCUCUCUCUCUCUCUCUCUCUCUCUCUCUCUCUCUCUCUCUCUAGACUAGAGAUAUGAUUUCUUUCUCCUGCAGUUAAUUUUCAUUAGGAUGGAAACAAACAGAUGAUCAAUCUAAUUGAUGACAUGUGAGGGUAAUUAAUACCGUGGUGUCUUUGAAUAAUGUUAAUGCAGA
Molecule: long non-coding RNA, 275 nt
Filed under: Prunus persica (peach)
Lineage: Eukaryota; Viridiplantae; Streptophyta; Magnoliopsida; Rosales; Rosaceae
Description: long non-coding RNA (PPER_LNC007543)
Source: RNAcentral